UAGUUUGAUCAGUGGCUCGAGGACGAACGCUGGCGGCGUGCUUAACACAUGCAAGUCGAGCGAUGAGGCACCUUCGGGUGUGAAUUAGCGGCGAACGGGUGAGGAACACGUGAGAAAUCUGCCUUCAACACUGGGAUAACUCCGGGAAACCGGGGCUAAUACCAAAUAGUCCCCGCAAGGGGUAAAGAUUUAUCGCUUCAAGAAGGGUCGACGCACUAUCAGCUAGUUGGUGAGGUAAUGGCUCACCAAGGCUAUGACGGUUAGGAGGCUCGAGAGGGUAUUCUCCCACAUUGGCACUGAGACACUGGCCAAACUCCUACGGGAGGCUGCAGUCGAGAAUCUUCGUCAAUGCACGCAAGUGUGAACGAGCGACGCCGCGUGAAUGAUGACCGCCCUUCGGGGUGUAAAGUUCUUUUAUUAGGGACAAACUUUGAUGGUACCUAGUGAAUAAGAGGUUGCUAACUCUGUG
This 469-nucleotide ribosomal RNA is filed under the name uncultured bacterium. Its description in RNAcentral is "bacterial SSU rRNA". It matches the Rfam family "Bacterial small subunit ribosomal RNA", at positions 9 to 507 of the family's 1533-position model. The record is from RNAcentral.